UAUCUUUUCAUAUAAGAUUCUAGUUUUUUAUAAAAAGUUGUUGAAAAAAAAAAUCUUUUCAUAUAAGAUUCUAAUGCAUAAGCUCACCGCAUUAUAAAUUAUUUCAGCUUCACCUUUUCACUCACCUCCGCCUCAACUCUCUUUCACUGAACUCUGUCUCACUCAACUCGGUCUCAUUCAUCGCCUAUCUUUCACAAAAGGACUUGAAUAUGAGCAAUAUACAGGUUCGAUAUAUUUUGCUAAAAUAUUUUGUUUGUUUUUUGAAUUUAAUGAUGCAACUUCUGAUUUAGAAUUUCUAAUAAUACCUGGGUCAUCAUAAUAUAUAUCAAGGUUUAAGUUUUCCAUUUUAAUUAAAACUUGAUGUGUCCAACUUCAAUUAGGGAAAAUUUGCAGCCAGUUUCCAGUGCUGUGUUCUGGGCGUUGGACAGCUGGUUGCCUGGAACACCAUUCUGACUAUUUCGGACUACUACUACCAGGUUUUCCCGGUAAGCUGUCAACAAUCUUACACCCUUAAAAACCUAACUUAAUUCUUGAUGUCUUACUUUUAUUCUCUACUUGUGUAUGAUUUUAUAUGGGUAUCAUUAAUUAUAUAUGUAUUUUGUUUUCAAUAUAGAUAAUGUAUCAUAUAUAGCGUUUUUUUUUGUCUAACUUGCUUCAAUACCUUGUAUACAUUCCACUGCAUGGGAAAUAAAUUUUGGUUUUUAUGUAACCUUUACAAUAACCAAUAUCUAUGUUUAAAACAUACAUAGUAUUAUACUUUUGAAUAGGAACGUUAAGUAUGAAAUCAUUUUGAUAAAAAGUUCAACUAUGAGAUCAUCUGAUAAAUAUAUGAUAUAUUACAUACAUAUACAUACAUAUAUAUGGUAACAAACAUUUUUAAAAGUUUGAAAAUUAAACAUUUUCAAAAAAACAAAACUUUAAAAAUUAGUUAUUUUAUCAAUGAAUACAUAUACUGUGCAAAUUUUAUAGUUUGACAUAUUCCGCAUCUAUUUAAAUUUUGAUGUUUAGUUUUUUUUUUAUCUUUUAAUUACAAAUUUACAGGUAGCUUAACAAUUAUUAUACAGUCAUUUUUCUAAUAACAAUAUACCCAUUUCCGUUAAAACUUUGACGAAGUCCCCAUUUGUAUGGAUAAAUCAGCCCUGGUAUAAAUCCAUUUUGAUAAGUUCCAAGACCGUGUGAUUAUAGUAGUUCCAAGUCCUCCGAUAGCUUUUGGAACACCACAACAUCAAAUGAUCAAGAUCAAAUCAUUAUUGUGUUUUCAUUGAUCAACCUUAUAACAGUUAACUUUUUAGAAUGAAUACAGUAGUUAACUUAUUAAAAAUAAUUACAAAGAAUUCUUUCAAAUAUCUCAUAAAGAAUUAUUUCAAAUAUCUCAUAAUUGCUUCAGUGAUUUCCAUAAAUGAAAAAAUAUCCAAUAAUAUCUCAAUAUCUUUUUAAAAUCUAAUUGACCCAUUUAAAACAUUUGCAGGACUACCAUCCGUCUCGAACGCUGACGCUCGUUUACCAGCCCUUUGUUCUGGGAACGAUAUCAGUAUUGGUUUUUGUGGGACAGAAAAUCAAAAACCAAAGGAGAGUCUUCACCGGUGACUGCCUAUUUGUAAUUGGCAGCAUUUUGCUACUAACGGUAUUCUCUUUAUAAAUAAGUUUUUCUUUUUGGUUUUAUUCUCAUCUAAAUUUUUCGUUUAGUCCUUAAAUCGUGUCUGAUAGUUAAGAACACAUAUGUCUUUUUUUUAUUACAUUAGUUAAGAACAUAUUUUUCUUUGAUUUUGAGCUUUCUCAUUUAUAUUAAUAUUUAUAAUUUGACAGGUUGACAUCGUAACCAAAGGAAAGGGAGGAAUAACCCCGUUUCUCCUUUUAUCCAUUGUAUCGGCGGGAGUUGGCGUAGCCAACGCCCUUGUCGAAGGAGCAAUGAUAGGCGACCUUAGCUGCAUAUGCCCCGAUCUUAUCCAGCCCUUCGCCGCAGGGCUUGGUGUAUCAGGAGCCAUAACGUCAGUUUUAAGGCUGCUUACCAAAGCAGUCUUCCAGAACUCCCGGGACAGCCUAAGAAAAGGGGCAUGUACGAUUCUUAAUCUAUGAAUUACACAAGCAGUUUAAUUAUUUGGAUAUGUAUGAAAGCUCGCUAAUUUUUUUAUUGUGAUGAAUGUAGUAUCAUUCUUAGCCAUUUCACUCUUCAUCGAGCUAGUAUGUGUGAUCAUAUACGGUGUGAUGUUUCCGAAGCUGCCCAUGGUCCAAAAGCAUCGAGCACGCUCGGGUUCAAACCCAGUGGAACCCGUUGAGGAAGUCCCACCACUAUCCAACCAACAACUGGCGCAUCAGAACUUGGACAGGGUUAUAAGUUUAUUCCUGAUAUACGCUUUGACGUUGUCAAUAUUUCCCGGGUUCCUCUACGAGAACACGGGAAAGCAUUCGCUACAUUCGUGGUUUGUUCCUCGUAUACGUUUUAGUUACGAUUUCUUUUCCUUUUAUCAUCUGAUAUCUUCUAAUACAUUUAUUGUUUAACAAUGAUUUGUAGGUACCCUCUCGUCCUCGUUACUUGUUUCAACUUAAGCGAUGCGCUUUCUCGAUACAUCACUAUGGUCAAACCCCUUAAAAUGCAAUCAGGAAAAGUGAUAGUAGCCUCUGUUCUUGCUCGAAUGUUGUUCCUUCCCGCCUUUUAUAUCACCGCAAGGUACGCAGAUCAGGGUUGGAUGAUCACCCUGACAUCCUUCCUAGGCAUUUCAAACGGUUAUCUUACCGUCUGCAUACUCACGCAAACACCAAAGAGAACUUACAAUGUAAGUAGUUAACAUUUACAUUAUUAUUUUCUGUGUACUGAAAAUUAUGAAAAGAGACAUCAUAAAUUGAUACUCUUCUUUUAUGUGGACAGGUAUCUGAAGCUAAUGCUCUCGGCAACAUCCUUGUAGCCUCGAUGCUUGGGGGGAUCUUUGCUGGUGUCUGCCUUUCAUGACUUUGGUUGAUCGGCAGCAACAAGUCCUUUUAUUUCCUUUUUAUUUAUAUCGCAUUGUAUUGUUUAAGGAUUCAUCGUAACUGCAGAAAACGAGGUUUCACGAGUUUGUCUUUAUCAUAUCUUAUGCUACCUCAAUAUGUUGGGAAUUUAUGAUAAAAUUAAACAAGAAAAAAGGGAAUCCUCCACAAGAGUUUUGAAUUUUCAUAAAUUUUAAGUAGAAAAUAAUAAUGAAUUAAUAACUAAUACUUACACAUUUCGUUUUAGUUUAUUUUCAUAGUUCUGUUCUCUGAGCUCAUAGGACACAUUUAAAGUUAAUCAGGAAACUGUUUUCUACCUAAAAAAAGGAACAAUUAUCUUAAAACCAAAGAAAACUAAUGAAAUUAGUAGCUUAAUACCAAGCACAAUAAAAGUUGCUACUUCGUUGGCAUAGAUGGUUUAUUGUAAUGAGGAAGUUAGCCUUAGAAGUUCUGUAUAAACUUGAGCCUGUAGCGAAGUACAAUUAAAGGAUAAGAGAGAGGAUUUUGUUUGAUUUGCUGAUAUUUUGGAUAUUGUAAUGAUUUGGUUAUAUUUUCCUUGGUAAAUGAAAGCUGUACUGUGCAUUGUGAAGCUUAAUCUCCUCCACAACAUGUCUGACACAUUCGGCGCAGCUGGAAAACCGAAUCUAGAAAAAGAUAUGCAUCAUCUACAUAUUGUGUAAGUCGAUAUUGUGCACUGUUCUCUAAUCUCUGAGGGUUUAUAAAAGAAGGUAAGUUUUAUCAAUCUUUGAUAGUAAACUUGUCUGAGAGAAGAAUCUGUGCGAGAGGUAUGAACUAUUCGUAAACCUUAAUACUCCAUCAUGAUUCGGUUAGCGUGAAGAAUGCAUUCAUGAUAUCCUCCAUUUAAUGUUAAUUUUUUGUGUCAUGCUAUAAAGAAACAUGAAGUUUUGAAAUCAGAACUUUUGGACUUAUUAAAGACACAUCUUUUAGGGGAAAUAUGGAAUAUAGCCUGAUCCCUAAAAUUUGUGGACAUGUAAAUGUUCAUAUCAUAUUUUGAUUUUUGGAAUUUGGGAAGAUACCUAUUGUUUUGUGUAUACAUGGCGCAUGAGAUGAGUGAGAGUGUGGCAUGCAAAAUAGAGAAAGAAUGAAAGACUGCAUUGGCAAUUCGUCCCUGAGCCAUAUGACUACAGGUUCACUAUUUACAUAGAGGACCCUGAGAUCCUGGAUGGUGUAAUCACGACUGUCAGGAAACAUUAUGGUCUAGCUUAGCAGACACCAAUGGUUAUAAAUUAUGGUGUACAAGAUUGGAUGCUUUUCCCGAGCGGCCUAGCUCCUCCUUUGACUAUAGGAACGACGACAGAUCUUGUCAAAUUGGUAACGGAGAGGCUCUGGCUGAUGGAGGUAACAUUGUUGGUGACUUUUGGAUCAAAGUGUGUAGCAACCUAUCAUUUUAACCGGCGGUCCAAUUUCAUGAUUGGUCUAACAACUUAUGUUGUAGAUGAAACAUAUGAUGCUAGAUCAAAAGCUGAAUAUGAGAGUAAGAUGUUGGAUCUUAUUCUGUUUUUGUGUAUUUGCAACAUCGAUAAAUAAGUGUAGUGUUUAACAAAUAUGAUGUUUACUAUUUAAGGUUUGGCGUAUGGAGAAAGGCUAGCAACUAGUGAAAGAUGAUCAGCCAGAUAAUUGAGGAUCAGGAAAUGCUAGUAUUCCACCGUGUUGCAUUGGAAACGGGACUUGCAGAUGAAGGACAGCGUGCUCCAGUUAACACCCGUGUAAUGACUGGAACAUAGAUAAUACAAUUCGAUGAGGAAGAUGACAUGACUGAUGUUCCCUUAACAGUGCAGCGUAAUGGUCCAGCAAUGCUAUCUCGAAGCCGUAAGUGUCGUCUUUUAAUAAAAAGAUAUUAAAUCUGUUAAAUGUGGAUAUUGGUUUGGUUUUAAGUUUUUUUUUUUGGUUUUUAAUCUUCUAAAAUAUAACUAUUAUUUUAAAUUAAUAUUCAUUUUAGUUUAUUCGGUUAAAAUGUUUGAUUUAUUUGGUUUUUUUCUAUAAAAAUAAAAAAAUAAUAUUAUUUGUUUAUUUUCAUGUUAGGAAUUUUAGAUAGUCGUCAUGUCGAACCAGUAGUUUCAUAUUAUAGUUUCAAAACAGAUAAUAGUUUAAGAAAAAGAAAAGAAAAUUAUUAAGACAAAACAUUUCACUACAAUUUGGUCGGUAGUGAAAGAAGUAUUAAGAAAAAAUAUUUCAAGUUUCAAAAAAUUUAAAUAUUUCAAUUGUGGUGAAUACUUAGUUACAAGGUGUUCACAUCAAGGGGCACAUGUAUGUGUAUGUAAAGUAUAUAAGAAUAGUUGACAAAUAUAUAAAGAUAUUGUUAAUUAAUAUUAAAUGACAUUUUUGUGUAAAAUAAUACAUGAAAGAUAAAAUUAAAAUUAAUUUAAAAUAAAAAAGGCCUUGACAUUAGUCAUUUUUUUCAUAUAAAGAAAAUAAAACUGUAUCCGUAAAUAGAGGUGGGCACUGAUUGAAUAUCUGAGAAUUUGGAAGCAUUCGUGUCGAUUCGAUCUUUAGCCACCUAGAUAUUCGGUGACUCGGAUAUCCGAAAUGUUUUUGAAUUUUAAAGAAUAUCCGAUUUGAUCCGUAAAUAAAAUAAAAUUUUAAAAAUAACUGAAAAAUUAAUAAUAACAUUUUAUUAAAAAAUAAAACACUAUUUAACUUAUAAAAUUUUAGUACCUAAUAUAAUAAAUUUAAUUCAUAAAAAUAUUGUAAAACUGAUAUAAAGUAUAAUAUAUAUAACAUACAUAUAUAAUUACUUACAUAUAUGUAUAUAAAUGCAUAUAACAUAUCGAAUUAGAUAUCUGUUCCUUAAAAUAUUGGCAUUUUUGAUUUGAUUCUUUUUGGAUAUUGUAUUUUAGUAUUUGAUUGGUUUCAUAGAGACACGGAUAUCCAGAUUUUUUGGUUCAAAUAAAAAUGGAUAACGAAUUAAAUCAAUAUUUCUGAAUAUUUUGCUCAACUUUAUCCGUAAACAAUAAAAAUGAUACAUAUAUAUAUAUAUAUAGUUUGACUUUUGAUACGUUAUCUAUUUUUAUUCGAAACAAAACAUCCAGAGUUUUAUUGGAACCAUGUAUGUGAGUUUUAUAUUAAAAAAGUACAAAGUACAUAGUGUGAACACAUUUAUGAAUAUAGUGUGAACGCGUUAGCAUAAUUAUUAUCAAAUCAUUGUGAGGCUGGCACGUGUUUAUUAUUGUGUGAAUGCAUUUAUUAUAAUGCUUCUCUUUUAAUAUAUAAGGGAUGUUUAGACCCAUAUAUAAAGGUGCCAUACAUAUAUAAAUGUGAACACUGAAGCAAGCUAACUAUUUAAAAUGAUGGGUAAAUAAUUUACGAUAUAGUUAUGUAUAUGAUUACUGUUAAAUUAAUUUAGGCUAAAGGGUAAUUGUUUUCUAUGAUUGGGUCCAUUUUAUAAUGCAAAGCCAUACAUAGCAAGCUAACUAUUUUAAUUUACUACCUGUUAAUUAAUUUAUGUUACGGGCUUAUUUUUUACCCUUGUUCGAAAACUCUCGCUAGGUGCUACGCGUGCGGCACAUACCGGCCGAGCGAUUUAUUAGAAAAGAGGAAAAAAAUCUGGGAGUAAUCGGGAAAGAUUUUUUUUGUACUUUUAUAUAUAUAAUACCUUAUUUAUAUGUAUAAUACCAAAUAUUUAUGUAUAAUAAAUACAUGUUUAUGUAUAAAAUAUCAUUGGUACUAAAAUAGAAAUAUGUAAAUACAUAUCAAAUUAGAUCACAAAAUAUAAUUAUGUCUAUUGCAGUUCAAAUAUAGUAUAUUUAUAAUAAGGUUUUGUGGAAUAUUACAAAUAAAUUAAUGUGGUCCGGUGUUAAAGUUUUCAGUAAGUUACUUAUGUCUAUGUUGUAGAUUCGAUUUUUUUUUGUUAUUUAAAUAUUGACUUUUAUUGUAGAGAGUUGUGAAUCUCAACAUCCCACAUCGGACGUUUGUAAACUGGUGCAGAAGGAAUGACUAGUAUAAAUAGAGCACGUAUUAUAGACUUUAGGAAACUCAAUCAGGCUUUAAAAAAGGCAAAGCCCAUUUUUAUUGGGCUUAACCUAGAAAAUUUUGUUAUUAAUCGUCAGUUAAUUCGAUUUAAUAGCGGCCGGUUUGUUCUUUAGCGAUUUACCAAACCGAUUGGUUAAAAUCGCCACGGUUGGACUCCGAGUUGCGAUUACCUGGCUGCAAAACCGGCUACUCGGCCGAGUUUUUGAACAAAUUUUUUUACUAUGAUUGAGCCCAUUUUAUAACGUGAAGCCAUACAUAUAAAUGUCAACGAUGUAACAGCCUAAAUAUUUUAUAAAGACGGGCAAACACUACAAAAAAAACCUCCAUAUUAGCGCGAGGAAACCACUAUCAUAUGCCUGGGAUAGCGUAUUAUGAACUGCUAUGUCUGCUAUAAUAGUUCUCCCUUAUUAUAGCGGUUUCUCACAUGCUAUCGUAGCGAAAACAUAUGAUAGCAGUAUUUUUGUGUUUUCUGUUAUAUUGUUAACAUUAUAAUAGCGUUGUUUCCGACGGUUACAUUUGUUAUUUCAAUAGCAUAUCUUGAAGGCUAUAAUUGUUUUUUUCAUAUUGCACUAUUGGAUGUUUUACUUUUCUAUAUUACAGCGGUUUUAUAGAUGCUAUUGGUUAAUGGUUAGUUUUUUUUUGUAGCUAAUACAACAUGUUAUUAGUAGUUUGACGUAUACCACAACCUGUUUGAUUUGUAUUGAAAGACACACAUUCAUAAAUUCAAACGCACAACCUACAAUAUUCAUUGGAAAAGAAGUAUCAAACUACAAGUCGCAAUCCGACACAUUACUAGUACAACACAUACAUAAAUGCAUCACUUAGUCUAAAUCAUCCAAGCAGAAAGAGUAGUACAUUAGACCUGAGAGUAGUUAACACAAGAUCACUUUCUCCUUUGGCCAUGCAGUGCAGGUGCCCAGUGCAUCUCCCAUACACUCAAUCUCAGUAGAUGGCAGCCAAAUCUCUGCCUUAUUCAUCUUCACCACAUCAAUCCAGACUUUAGCUCCAUUAGGUCCCAAGGGAACAAAGUGCACUGUUUGUUCCGGGUUGUCUGAAGCCCAACGUCCUUCUGCAACGACCUGCUUCUUUCAUGUAAUAGACAUGAGCUUGCAUUUCUGAUUCUCUUUGGCAGCUUCAUUUUGACUCUGAUGCUACAAUGUUUGCAAGACAAACCAAUAUAUCUCAGUGAAUAGGAUAACAAAAAACAGCUAGUUAAUACCAUAUACAACAAAUUCACGUAUGAUCAUCAAAUGUGAGAAGGUGCUUCAGUUUUGUUAAGGGUAGCUUUUGGAGAUUGAUCGCUUGAUUUAGAGCGUGGUGAUGCAGAACACGUAGCAGCUUUUGCAGAUUGUGCUUUAGGAGAAGAUGGUUGAUUCUGAAGAGGAGAUCUACGGCAUGGUGACUGUGGUGUUUUCGAACACACACUUAUUGGCUGGCCAGACUACAAAAUGCUUAACCAGAGUCCGUAAGGUAAAUUAUAUCUGGUCUAGGUCUCCAUAGAAAUGUAUCAGGAACAUGAACCACAUCCACAAAAUCUUUUACUACAUUAGGUCUUGGAGGCAGUUUGCAUUUGUUCAAGGAAUUGGAAUUUGAACUCUACAUACACAUGGAAAAGACAAUAUAAAAAUGUUAAUCAAAACAGCAACAUAAACUGAAAUAAUAAGGUGGACAAUAAGAAAUCUUACCCUUGAAGGAAUGUCUUCGGUAUAUAUCCCCUCGUUUGACAUAACACAUUUACUGGCAGGCCAUGAAAUCAUCUCCCCAACCGCGUGCUCAACAAUAACAUACCGGUAGCAGGCCUCCAAAGAAAUGCAUCUGAUUUGAUUGCAGUCUCCAUUUUUGUCGAUUUUUUAGUACUCUACUUAAAAUGAGAAUGAGUUUUGCUAAAAGGGAAAAGAGACAUAACAUUGGCGCUUAUGUUAUUUUCUCUUAUGUUAUUUUUUAUUGCCGCUCACUAAUUUUUGCCAAUGUCGUGUUUAACUGAUAUUAAUAAAAACCAAAAUCCCAAAUUUGAUUUUCCAUAGCAUUUUAGAAAAUACUGCUAUAAUAUUGUGCUAUCAAUACACAUUUUUUGUUAGUGAAAUAAUUUACAAUAUAAUUGAGUAUAUUAUGAUUGGUUAAUUAAUGUUGUAACUAGUUAAUUAUUUACUACCUAUUUACCAUAUACGAUGAGCACUAACAUGUUAUAUCCAUAGGUGGUGAGGCAACAACCAAUCAACAACAGCCCCUUCAACCGGCGGGAGUGUCAGCUAGUGCUGUAUGCUCAUAUUAACCUUAAGCAACACUCCCAAAUAAAAUAUCAAUUGCAGUACUUAAGGAUCGAAUCCACAUAGAGCGUGGGAACUCAAUAGAUAAGAUGAAUAGUAAGAGCAAGCUAGGAAAUAUAUAUUAAAACAGUAAAUAAAAUAUUAAAUAAGCAGUAAAUAGGGUAAAUGAGAUGUGUUUUCACAGAUAAAACGAAGGCUAGACUCCCAGAGGUGUCCUUUCUUUAGUAAUUCGUUAACCUCAAUUCUUAGUGCGACGCAAUCCUCCGUUUUGUUGACCUUGGUCAUUGUGGAAUUCGGACCACCGGUUUGGGUUCCGGAAAGAAUCAGGCGCUUUCAUUUUCUCAGACCACUUGACUUGUUGACCCAUCUGCCUUAGGACAUUAAUCAGCUCCGGUUUCGAUAUGCAAAGAUGGGAGAUAUCGGUAGGUAAGUUGAUAUGCCACUGCAGGACAGGUCCUGUCAAAGUUGAAAAAAAACCCUUACACAUAGUCCCUUCUCUAAAUUCCUUUUGGAGGGCUACAAUGAGCAUUCAAUGCAUGUACUGGGCGACAUGAUUAUCCGGGUCGCUAGUGCCGUCAAACAUCCUCAUACUGGGGAAAUAGAACUUUCUUGGCAUCUCUAUCAAGCCAAUCUCAUCCCCAAAGGGGGUAUCGACAUAGGAACUCGGAUCACUCCUCCGGAUCGAUGGAGCCUGUAGUAACCCGCCUGAAGGGGUAAAAUGGUCGAGAUCGACAAAGUCGGAAUUUGGAGCCGAGCUUUUGGGAAUCGAAGUAUGAUGGAGAAUGUUGAGUUUUGAUCAUAUAAAUCUUAACAUGGUUCGGCGAAAAUGGAAGAUUGGUCGAGCAUCUACUUGGUGGUCGAGUCGCGGGCGAUAAGGAUUGAUCGAGAAAUUUUGAAGAACGAGGUAGUCGAAGAAUUGAUUCUGAGUGAACCAUGAGUCGGAUGAGCUGCUUGACCAUGGUUAGACAAUGUGAUAGAUUGAUCAGAAGAAUGUUUUCGAAACAUCAUGUUUUUGGAAGCACGACGUUUUAAAAGCUCGACGUUUUAGAAGAAGGAUGUUUCUUCAGCAAGAAGUUUUCUGCAAAACUUCGUAUCAGCGGAAUAUUAUUUUGAAGUCAUCGGAAUCAGGAUGGGAAUUAAGCAGGACGGGAAGCAAACACGACGAGAUCAAAGCAUGACGGGAAAACCCAAAAUUGGAUGAAAACCCUAAUUUCAGUAUUAUGGAAGUUUCGAUGAAGCCGGAGGCUGGAGAAAUAUUUACCGCCAAGAUCAGAAUUCUUUCUGGAGUUUAUCAAAAUUAUUCAGCGAAUCAGAACGGGAGUGGAAAAAUAAUCGGGAUGGAUCGCAGGUCAAAAAUAUGCAGGAAGGACCAAAAUCAGACGAAUGGACCGAGAAGCUCGAGGUGGCUCAUCGCAUGGAAUCAGAACGUGGUGUCAACUGUCCAGCAAUCUGAGUGUCUACAGAAGCUCAAGGUGUGGCUGUGCAUGAAGCAGGAGCAUGCAAAUUGACGUGUGGAACACGAGGUGGAUCGACCAAGCACGAGGUGUCUCCGCGCAUGCAACUGAAGCAUGAUGAUCGACAUGUGUGUACUGGUGUGGCGUCUUCCAUGCACUCCAGGCAUGCAUCCUGAAAUGUGGGAGGAGGUAUGUCGUCCUGCAUGAGGCUGAGACAUGCAGCCAGCCAGGUGGAGCACGAGGUGCGGCCGCACAAGCGUUCGGAUCCAUGCGGAGCGACACACGGGCUGCCACCAACCUAAAGCUGAUUGGUUGUUGUCUUCUAUAAAUACCCCACGACCCCAGAUCAUUUCUACACAUCCAGAGCUGCCCAAACCAAGUUAAAAAUGUGAGAGAAAAGUAGAAAAAGAAAUCAAGAGUUUACGAGCUAUUUCGAGAGUUUUAGAAAAUUUUCGAGACCAGUUCUCUACUGAUUUCGAGUCAGUGCCUAAGGAAGGUUCUGCCCAACUGAAGGUCAAUAAAGUGAAGAUCAGUUCAGAUGGGAAGCCACUCCAAAACGUGGGAAGAGAGAGAGAGAGAGAGAGAGAGAGAGAGAGAGAGAGUGAGAGAGAGAGAGAGAGAGAGAGAGAGAGAGAGAGAGAGAGAGAAAGAGAAAGGAAGUGGUCGAUGUAGAGUAUGGUCGAUUCUGAAGAUUGAUACUCCACCGAGAAGACCAGUUUCGUCCAAUUGACGAUUUCUACGAUUGUGAGGCGGAAGCUCUGUCCAAAUCAGUCCGUCCAGGCCAGUCAGUUCCAUUGAUGAUCAAGUGGAGGUGCUGUUCAGAGUUGGUUCAGUUUCACGGGUUCAGAUCAGUUAAAGUUUUACUCGAUACUCCACCCGGAAGUCCGAAGAACUGUCUAGAAGCUACAGAAGGUUGUACUCGAGUUGAGUUCAGUCCAGACCAGUAUCAGGGGAGGUUAUUUCCAAGUAAAGAUCAGUGCAGUCCAGUCCAGUCAAGUCGUCUGUUGGGUUUUGGCAAAGUCUUCUCCUAUCAACCAGCUGCUUCUCGCCUAGAACACUGUGAGUUGACUUGUUUGAAUUCCACUUGGAAUUUAAGGUAGGUUUGUGAGUUGGCUUGUUUGAAUUCCACUUGGAAUUUAGGGUAGUUUUGUGAGUCAGUUUGUUUGAGUCCCACUUGGAAUUUAGGGUAGAUCGAGUCUGCAUAUAGAGUAGAAUACUCACAUUAUUGCAUGGUAGAGUCCUUAGGGUUAUUUUAUUUCUGGAAUCAAACUUAGUUUAGCAAGGGCUAAGCUGAGAUAAAAAGAAUAAAGACUGAGUUAAUAACCUGACUAGGGCUAGGGCUAGAUGAAUCGUGUUAUCUAUUCUAUUGUUUUGACAUGGUUGAGUGUAAGUUUUGUUAUCUUUAAAGAUGGUUUUGCACCAAAGUUUUUGUGGUCUUUUUUCAUGCCUGCCAGUGAGCUUAAAAUAGGAAAGAACCCUCUGAAAUUAGAUAGUUAUAUUAGAUGGAAUAAGAUGAUUAUAUAUUACAAAAUCCUGAUAUUACAUCCAAACUUGUAAUACACAGUAUUUUAUAAAACUUAUAUAGUCCAUGAAAAUAAGCAUGAAAAUAAGCAUUAUACCCUCUUAUUCUUCAUUCUUUCAUCACUGAAAGGAUGAUUUGACAACAAGAGACGAGUCCAAAGAACCCAUCAUCUAUAUGACGUUAAAAUUUAAGAUGCAAGAAUGUAUAACCUAAUAAGACUUGUUGAAACUAACAAAACUUUUGACAACUUAUUUAAACUUCAACUGAUUUCGAUUGUAUAGAACUUUGUUUGUAUAUGAUAAGGACUUGAUAGAUCGUAUAUUGAUUAUUGAUGUUAGAAACCCGAGCACUAAUGGUAUUUGACAACUAUAUUGUUUGCUAACGUUAAAACAUAUUUAUAAUUCAAAUCCCAAACAAAACUUGUAGGAUGGUGCUGGAUACGAGGCAUGGAGAAGCCAUUAUUUGUGACAAAGAUUUCUCAUUUGAUAAGACAAAUGGAUAUAAACUUGUUUGCUUGUUUACAUUGGAUUAAUAAAACUAUACACGUUUUAUUCUUACUAAUUUUAAACAUAUUUGUUAAUUAACUUCAUUCCUAAACCGGAUACAUAUAAUAUGUUUUUCUGCGGUUAAUAUUUGAUUCGAUUAUCUGUGCUUAUAAUGUUAACUUCCAAGUUUGUCAAAAUUUUACAAAGGCAAAUGAUAUCACUCAAAUUAUCCUAAGUAAUUUAUGAUUUCUUAAAUAAGAGGUUGAGUUGUAGUACUUAGGCAGGACCGUCUCAAAUUCUACGGAGACCCUGUUUAAAAAAAAGGCCCUAUUAAUAACCCGAAAUAGUUUAUGUUUUUCUCGCAAAAUAUUGUUAUAAUAUAUAAUAAAUAAACCAAUCUAAUUUGAGUGGAAGAAACAUUAAUUGGUUUUAUAAUUAAAACCUUAUGAAAAGCACAUCUUUGAGACUAUGAAUUUUUCAGUUUCCUUUUUUCUUUGAUUUUUUUUUUGUAUCCAACAAUCAUGAGUUAUAAUCUAUAAAAAAUAAUAGAGCAAUAGAACAUGGAUAGUGGUUAAACCAAAAGCCGUAGACUCUUGAUUUGAUUAAACAAGAAGUUGGAGACUCCUCAUUUUUCUUCUCGAUAGAAGCUUAAACUAGUAGUUGUCAAAAAAAAAAACUAGUCAUUCUUCUUUGUGUUUACUAUUUUUUGUAAAAGUUGCUGAAAAUUAUAUAUUUCUCUUCUUAUUUAUAAUCACUAAUUAAAAAUAGUUUCCUAAAUAUAAUCAAACUAGAAUAUUGACCUUUUAAAUUUACAUUGAAUACUAAAUCAAACACCAACAUCUAUUUUUUACUUUCCAAAAAAAAAUGUAUAUAUAUAUAUAUAUAUAUAUAUAUAUAUAUAUAUAUAUAUUUGUCAUCUUUCCAAAAUAUAUUAAUUGAUAUAAAUGUUAAUUUCUUUCUGAGUUAUUGCAUUUUUGUUGGUUAUGUAAACACAAUCAAAUUGUAAUUUAUAUUUAUUGGUUAAUAAAUACGAAAAUUAAAUUUAAAUAUAGCUGUCUGAUUUUUAAUAAAUAUAUGAUUUUAAAUUUAUAACUAUUACUAAAAUAAAAAAAAUUAUGGACCCUCUAAAAUUUCGGACCCUGUUCGACCGCUCCACUUACACGUGCUAAAAGACAGCCCUGUACUUAGGGAUCGAAUCCGCAAGGAGCUAGGGCACACAAAAGAUCUUAAACAGUUUAUGAUUAAGCUAAGUGAAUUAAGUAAAUUGUAAAUAGCAGUGGUGAACAAGGCAGUUAUACAGUUGAUUGGAUUGAGGUUUGUAAACAAUUAUGAGAAAAUGUUAGACUUAGGGUUUCUAUUCAUGUAAUCAUGAUUAAAAUAGUAUAGAAGCUAGAGUAGUUUAUUGGAUAUUCUAGAACUCAAACAAAGUAAUAUUCAAUCAACUUCCGUUUGUUUAGAAUAUCUGUUGUCUAGAUCUCAGAUCUCAACUGUCGUUUCUUGAUCUGGAGAAAGUGUCGAUCGAUAUUAACAAUUGAUAAUCUAUCGGUACACCUUUCAGAUCGUCGAUCGAUACACCUAUAGGGUUGUCGAUCGAUGAUCCUUCCCGCAAGCACCGAGUGGGUUUGACUUAUGUUCACUAGGUUUAACUAAAUCAGCUGUCGCUUGUUUCUAGUAAUCCUAGCACAAUGUGAAUUAAUUCAGGUAACAGACCAUGCUUCCGCUUGCGCCUAAUAUUCCUAAUAUCAUGGUUCUAGUUAGCUAUUUUAGAACAUAAGCAAUAGGAGCAAUUCAAUUGAUGGAUAUCACAAACAACUCAUCAAUAUAUAUUUGGGGCUAAUCCUUCAUAAUCCUAUUUGAACCCUAAACCUAACAAUGUGAAUUACUCAGACAUAGCAAAACAAUUCAUAACAAUCAUAAUAAAAGAAUGCAUAAAUAGAUUAAGGUUAGAAAUAUUGGAGUUCCAAUACAAAUCUGUAAAGGAGUCUUGCAUCUUCUCUCCAAAUAUACUAAAAAUCUUUGUUGGGUAAAACUAGAGAAUAGAAAGCGUGUGUUGCCUAGAACAAUGGCAAAACACAUAAAUAUUAGGUUAAAAGUCAGCCAGGGGUAUUUUGUAAUUAUGUCUUGACUUGGGUUUUAAGCCGGCUAGGCUUUGCGCGCUUCACUGUCGAUCGACAGCACAGAGUGUGCAUCGAUCGAUGGUGAACUCUAAAUCUCGACCUCGAACUCGUUCGAUGCUCAGCUUCAAGCUUCCUCUAAUUUUAUCUCCAAAAUGUACCCAAUUCCCCACUUUUUGUCCAAAUCACCCAUGAACCUAUAAAAGUGCUAAAAGAACUCCAAAACAACAUAGAUAGUUCCUAAAACACAAAUAUCCAUGGCUGAAAGUGGGUAAAAUCCAUGAUAUAUCACACCCAGAGUUUCCUUUUUGCUAAGAGGUUUUGAAAACAACAGUGAUUCACACAAUUAAAGAACUCAUAUCACCACCUCUACAAUGUUGCAAGCCACAUCAAAUUAAUUCUAACUUCAGAGGUAUCCUAUAUACCAUAUCUUAGCUUAGCAACCAAAUCCAUCUAACCAGCAACUUACGUAAUAGCGUCUGACUCGCCCCUUUACUGUUCUCAUUUAAUACAUAUAUAAAAGGUGUAGGCUUUACCUUGGGAGUAUCGAUCAAAAGACACAUGGACUCUUACUCAAACAAGUUUAUGAACACACAGGUAGUCUUAUCUUAUCCAUUUCUUUCUUCUUUCUCUCUUUUUCUGAAUCUCAAUUCCAAUGAACAAUGAUGCUGAUACAGUCCAUCUUUAUUCACCUUCUUUUUUACUCUCUUUUUCUCUUUUUAAUUUAUUUUGACAAAGUGUAGGCGAACGGUGGGGUCAUCGGUAAUGUACCAACACCUCGCUUCCAGCGAUGUCUGAUCAUUCCUUUCAACAAGAAUAGUGGGGUCAUAACUAAUGUACCUACCCCUCUGCAUCUCAGGAAAUCAUCUCAAUCAUUUCUUUAUAUAGAUGCCGAAGAGACUGAGAGAAGAGAAUAAGAAACACAUAGACUUUUACUGAAGUGAUCCUUGGUAAGAUGAUGACGUCCUUGAAUGCUCUCCAACGAUUGUGAUGAUGAAAUAAGCAGUGGAUUGAGAUGAUACUUCUAAGAGUUGUGGAAUGGCUUCUAAACUAUCUGAGUUUCCUUGUAGAUGUUGAAACGAGAUCAGAACAUGGACAAGACAAACAAUGAUCAUACAAGAUUCAGAGAGAUAUUUUUAUUAGAAAAGAGUUUGAUUUUUAUUGAGAGUUUUGACCAGAAUAUAAAGAAAAGAAGUCUGUACAUGCACAGCUUUUUGGAAACACACUAGAUAAUUAAAACAAAUAAAGACUAAAGAAGACUGUACAUGCACAGCUUCUUGGAAACACACAAAACAAUUAAAACAAAUAAAAACUAAAGUUCAAAUUUAAAAGAUAAGCUCCCCUCUUAUUUCUGGACGAAAAUUAGACUAGAAAUGGGAUAGAAAUGGGGAUGGUUUCAUCAAGAGGCUUUUGUAUAAGUGCUGUGUCUAAGCCUCAUUAAAAAAAAUUGUUUGGAAAACCCAGUGGGACAAAACAAAACCAAGGAAAAGAGUGCAAGUCACAACAUUACCUCUCUUUGUUGAAUGUUUUAGACUACUUGAAUGACAACCAAUGAGGUUGGAUAAGCACACUCUAGACUGCCAUGGAUAGUCUGUAGACGUUGAUGAAGAGCUUGAUGGAACCUCGCCUGCUUGGACCUAGUCAUCGGACCAAGUGGAACGUUUAAAUCGUCAGAAUGGCAUCCACGGGGUUGCAUCCACUCAAUUGCAUCCACAUAAUCGUAUCCACAGGAUUGCUUCGAUUCAGUCGCAUCCACGAAGUUGUAUUCACAGGGUUGCAUCCAUUCUGUAGCAUCCACCGAGUCGCAUUCUUUGACUUUCUUAAGUUCUGGUACAAGCUGUUCUAUCUCCUUAGUUUCAUCAGUUCCUUUGCUUUCCAAGAUCUUAUCAUCCUCUCUCACUUGAGAAGGAUUUGACCUCAAAUCCGUUUCACCUGCAUGAUAAAGAACUAAAUCAGUAACAUUGAAACUUGAAUUUACAUUAUACUUACCUUGGAGGCCUCGUUGAUAGGCAUGGUUGCUGAUCCGUUUGGUUAUCCAUUCUCCUGAUGAAUUCCUCAUUUCUAGUUUAUACACAUCAUCAUAUAACAUGUUAGCACAUGAACAAUCCUGAUAGAGUAAUAGUAAUAGUCCAAAUCUGUUUUUGAUCAGUUUUGGCUUGUUUGUUGCAUCUGGAGGUGCUUCUUUGAUGAGGAUGAAGCAAAUGAAGUCUUGGUGCUUAUCCUGGUCCAAAUCAGGUGGUUUGAACCACUUCUCCUCCUCUUGCUUGCAGCUUCUUCUUUUAUGCUUCAAGGCUUUCAUGAAACUUACACUUUGUUCUUUUGACAAAAACACGUGCAUUAUAUCUGUGUAUUCAAUGAUAAAAGAAUUCUUGAGAUGUUCUAAACUCAAACCGUUCAGAAUAAACCAAGUGUAGGUUUACCUGAGUUGUAGAAUCAGUAAUUUGCAACCCUGAAUUGGUUUCAGCCUCACAUUGAUUCCUUGUGGAUAUAGGAAGGACUAAGAAUGUGGGAUAUGUUGUUUCAUAGCUUGAUUCCUUCUUUUCAAAAAGUGUAAACCUCAAAACAGUCUGACCUGUGACAACAGCAAGCAAAUAAGGUUUCAUGCGUUUCUUUGAGUCUAGAUAAUUACCUGGAGUUGGUUGUUUUGGAGUUUGCUGUAGACUAAGUUUAUCUUGUGGUUUCUCCUUGAUUUGAGAAGAAAACAUGAUUUCUUCUCCUGGUCCAUUAAUCACUUCACCAUUUCCUCUAGUGAAUUCUCCAUCUCCACUCCUGGUUUGAUAAUCUCUGCAAUGGUGCUGAAUUUGUUGCAAAUCUUGUGGCUUCCAUAUCUUGAUUUGGUCGAGAGGACUAUCUUCCAACUCCUUAUGGCCCAUGCUGAAUCUCUUACGAGCAGAGUGUUCAACAAGGCUGAUAAGUAUGCUGACAUAUGCUCCAGGUCUCCAUCAUCCAACCCAAUCACAUAUAAUCGUCUCUUCGAAUUGAUCCAAACCGACAUGUUUUGCCAAACUGGUAAUAACUUGAUGAUCAUGUGGCCCUUUACUGCGUUGUCUGGUUUGUUGGAUCCAUGACUGAGUUGGCAACAUUCUCCAAUUAGUUUUAUAGUGAAAUCUUGCUGAGCUGAGACAUGGAAAAACUUUUCACUAGAGGGCGAUAAAUCAACAAAAUCAAAUGUAGUUGCAGCUGAUUCCUUCUCAAUCAUUUUGAUCUUGUUGCUCUAAGCCCAAUUUGUGUCUUGAAAGCUCCAUUGCUCUAGUCUUGUUCCAAACAAUAGGACUGAACAGAAAAGUACCAAAGAAUGUCUUUUGGAAACCAUAUGGAUCAAAGACAAAUAGAUGCUCCAAUCCAAUAUUUGUUUGUGGUUCUUUUGGUUCCACCUUUUCUAUCAUAUCACGUCUGGCAAGAACCAUGUCAUCCAUCAGUGGUUGAUCAUCUUUCUGUCUUUGGUGAUUGUUGGAAUCUCGGUUCUAUUUUCUUGAAUUUGUGCUGCGGAUUUCGGUUCUGUAAUUUUGAGUUCUGAUACAACAAUGACUUGUUCUUGGUUCUGUUCUUCUAAGGAAGGACGUGUUUCUUUGGUUUUUCUUAGUUGUUCCUCCACAUCAUUAAACGCUUGCAAAAGUGCUUUCCUUAUACUCUUCUCACUGAAAGAGGUUUACGUUUUGCUUGAUGAAACAAUUUCAGUGGGUGGACAUGAUCUCAGGCGGUAUUGUUGUUUCUGAUCCCAGAUUGAAGGGUAUAGCUUUGUCUCAGACUGUUUGUUUGGUUCAGUACUCCACUUGUAUCGUUCAUACCUUCUCGUCUGUUGAGUUUCAUUCAUAAUAACAAAGCUGUUCUGCCUCAAACAAGUUUUUUUCUUUUCUUAUUCUUCUCUGCCUUUGAUUCAUGGCUUGAUGUAACUCCUGGCGAAACGAAUCAAUUCUGGAGUCCAUCAUUUUCUCCAUUUUGACAGUCAUAGCUUCAAGUAACAGUUGAUCCAUUCCAUUGUUUCGAUUGCUUUCUUCUCCCAUGAUUCCUGUUGAUUUUCCAAACACAAAACCAGUAAAAGACAUAACAGAAACAUAAUAUAACAGAAAGUUACGGAAUUGAAUCUGGAAUAAUCAGAUUUCCAAUUUUCAAUAAGAACCCUAAUUUUUUUCUUUGCAAUUUUGUGAAUCAAGUUCAGUUAUUUAGAAAUUUCAACACUUUUUCUAGGUAGAUCUGAUCUUAAUAAACACGAAUCUCACAAGAUCUAAACUUUAGAACAGAUCAGAUAACAUAAUACGAACAGUCUAAAAGUUGCAGAACUGGAAAAACACAACCUGAUGAUGGAGAUCUAAUCUGAUACCACUUGAAGUGAUACUGGGUAAGAUGAUCGCAAACCUGAAUGCUCUCCAACGAUUGUGAUAAUCAAAUAAGCAGUGGACUGAGAUUAUACUUCUAAGAGUUGCGGAAGGACUCCUAGACUAUCUGAGUUUGCUUGUAGAUGUUGAAAUGAGCUCAGAACAUGAACAAGACAAACAAUGAUAAAACAAGAUUCGGAGAGAACUUUUAUUAGAAAAGAGUUUGAUUUUAAUUGAGAUUUUUGACCAGAAUAUAAAGAAAAGAAGUUUGUACAUGCACAACUUCUUGGAAACACAUAAGAUAAUUAAAACUAAUAAAGACUAAAGAAGACUGUACAUUAACAACUUCUUGGAAACACAUAAAACAAUUAAAGCAAAAAAAAAGACUAAAGUUCAAAUUUAAAAGAUAAGCUCCCCUCCUUAUUUCUGGACGAAAAUUAGACUAGAAAUGGGCUAGAAAUGGGCAUGGUUUCAUCAAGAGGGUUUUGUAUAAGUGUUGUGUCCAAGCCUCAUUAAAAACAUUGUUUGGAAAACCCAGUGGGAUUAAACCCAACCAAGGAAAAGAGUGCAAGUCACAACACCUCUCUUUGUUGAAUGUCUUAGACGACUUGAAAGACAACCAAUGAUGUUGGAUAAGCACACUCUAGACUGCCAUGGAUAGUGUGUAGACGUUGAUGAAGAGCUUGAUGGAACCUCGCCUGCUUGGACCUAGUCAUCGGACCAAGUGGAACGUUUAAAUCGUCAGAAUGGCAUCCACGGGGUUGCAUCCACUCAAUUGCAUCCUGAUAUCACUCAAAUUACCCUAAGGAGUGAAUUAUUCUCUCAAAUAAGAGAUUCGUAUGUAGUACUUAGGGAUCGAAUCCACAUAGACUCUAGGAUUUCACAAUAGAUUAUGGUCUUGAAAUAAAUCUAGAUUAAAUGGUUUUAAAGCAGUAAAUGGAGUGGUGAGCAAGUAUAUUGCUCGAUUGAUUUGUUUUGAGGUUGUUAACAGUUGGGAGAAGUAGCUAGAUUCAAGUAUAUUCUCAGGUAUGAUAAGUAAAACUUAAUUUGGGUUUUUAGGGGUUUAUUGAUGUUAAUCAUUCUUGAAUUCAAACUUUAGAUAUAAUCAAUCUGAUUAUCUAAUCUGGAUCAACUUUUGUAUGUUAAUCAUGAGAAAGUGUCGAUCGAUAAUUCGUUGUGAAUAUCGAUCGAUACACCUUUCAAAAUAUCGAUCGACAGGGCUAUCACAGCGUCGAUCAAUACCUCUUCCAGAAAGCUUUACGGAUGGGUUUGACCUAAAUUCUCUAACUCACUAGACCAACUCUCGUCCGUAUCUAGUCAGUUAGAUCAUAUUAGUUAUUUUCAGAUAUUGAGUCAAGCAAUGGCUUGAUCCCAAUUAAUCCUAAGAUCUAAGUUUAAAGGGCGAUCAAUCCUAAACUUAGCUUUAAGGAUAACUAGAUGAAAGAAUUAUAUUUCUAAACACCCUAACAAUUAUUGUUGUCAGUAAUACAUUCAUCAACGUAUUGAGAAACCAAAAUCUAACAAUAAGGACUACUCGGACAUAUUCAUGGAACACAUGGUUAUGAUGGUAUGAAUAAUACUUAUUAAAAAUGAGUAAAUAGAGUAAGCAACAAAUGAAUAAAAGCAAAGGAGUUAAAGAUCUUCUCUGUUUUGCAGUGUUGAUCUAUCUCUCCAAUUCUAAGCUCUCCCCUUUCAAUGGUGGCUUCUUGCUUCCUCAAGCUAUGUCUAAAAAAAGUCUCUAGGCAAGCCUGUCUCUAAAAUAAUGCAAAACCCUAAUAAAUAGCCUAACGGGUGGCCAAGGACUUAAAAUGUAAUUAUUGAAACUUUUGUGAAACUUUAAUUCUUCUAAUUUGUCAUUAAUUCUCGGGUGGCUUCGAUGUCGAUCGAUAUGAAGAGCUCAUCAACGAUCAAAAUUCCUUGGUCACUAUCGGUCGAUAUUCUGACAAAUAGUCGACCAUCCAGCAAAGCUCAGAAAGUCUCCAAAUACAUCAUUUUCUUCCAGAUAUUACCUGAACUUGUAAUUACACUAAAUCGACUCUAUAUAGUAAUAAUAUAUCUUAAAACACUCAUAACUCAGGGUUAAAAAUGGGUAAAAUCCAUGGUCUAUCACAUCCACUGGAUUGCUUCGAUUCAGUCGCAUCCACAUAGUUGUAUUCACGGGGUUGCACCAAUUCUGUAGCAUCCAAUGAGUCGCAUUCUUUGACUUUCUUAAGUUCUGGUACAAGCUGUUCUAUCUCCUUAGUUUCAACAGUUCCUUUGCUUUCCAAGAUCACAUCAUCCUCUCCCACUUGAGAAGGAUUUGACCUCAAAUCCGUUUCAUCUGCAUGAUAAAGAACUAGAUCAGUAACAUUGAAGCUUGAACUUACAUUAUACUUACCUUGGAGGCCUCGUUGAAAGGCAUGGUUGCUGAUCCGUUUGGUUAUCCUUUCUCCUGAUGAAUUCCUCAUUUCUGGUUUAUACACAUCAUCAUACAACAUGUUAGCACAUGAACAAUCCUCAUAGAGUAAUGGAAAUAGUCCAAAUCUGUUUUUGAUCAGUUUUGGCUUGUUUGUUGCAUCUAGAGGUGCUUCUUUGAUGAGGAUGAAGCAAGUGACGUCUUGGUUCUUAUCCUGGUCAAAAUCAGGUGGCUUGAACAGCUUCUACUCCUCUUGGUUGCAGCUUCUUCUUUUAUGCUUCAAGGCUUUCAUGAAACUUAUACUUUGUUCUUUUGACAAAAACAAGUGCAUUAUAUAUGUGUAUUCAAUGAUAAAAGAAUUCUUGAAAACAUGAUUACUUACCUUAAAAUUCUCACCUGAUCGCCAUUUAUAGGAUUGAUAUGUUCUAACCUCAAACCGUUCAGAAUAAAGCAAGUGUAGGUUUACCUGAGUUGUAGAAUCAGUAAUUUGCAACCCUGAAUUGGUUCAGCCUCAAACUGAUUCGUUGUGGACGUAGGAAAGACUAAGAAUGUGGGACAAGUUUUUUCAUAGCUUGGUUCCUUCUUUUCAAAAAGUGUAAACCUCAAAACAGUCUGACCUGUGACAACAGCAAGCAAAUCAGGUUUCAUGCGUUUCUUUGAGUCUAGAUAAUUACCUUGAGUUGGUUGUUUUGGAAUUUUCUUUAGACUAAGUUUAUCUCGUGGUCUCUCCUUGAUUUGAGAAGAAAACACGAUUUCUUCUCCUGCUCCAGUAAUCACUUCUCCAUUCCUCUAGUGAAUUCUCCAUCUCCACUCCUGGUUUGAUAAUCUCUGCAAUGGUGCUGAAAUUGUUGCAAAUCUGGUGGCUUCCAUAGCUUGAUUUGGUCGAGAGGACUAUCUUCCAACUCCUUAUGAGCUGAUUCUCUUAUGAGCAGAGUGUUCACCAAGGCUGAUAAGUAUGCUGACAUAUGCUCCAGGUCUCCAUUAUCCAACCCAAUCACAUAUAAUCGUCUCUUGGAAUUGAUCCAAACCGACAUGUUUUGCCAAACUGGUAAUAACUUGAUGAUCACGUGGCCCUUUACUACGUUUUCUGUUUUUUUGGAUCAAUGACUGAGUUGGCAACAUUCUCCAAUUGGUUUUAUAGUGAAACUCUUGCUGAGGUGAGACGUGGAAAACGUUUCAUCAGAGGGCGAGAAAUCAACAAAAUCAAAUGUAGUUGCAGCUGAUUCCUUCUCAAUCAUUUUUAUCUUGUUUCUGUGACUCCCCAACUCUCCCCCAGGCUCUAAUACAACAUACUCCAAGCCCAAUUCGUGUCUUGAAACCUCCAUUGCUCUAGUCUUAUGCCAAACAAAAGGACUGAACAGAAAAGUACCAAAGAAUGUCUUUUGGAAACCAUAUGGAUCAAAGACAAAAAGAUGCUCCAAUCCACUAUCUGUUUGUGGUUCCUUUGGUUCCUACUUUUCUAUCAUGUCUGGCAAGAACCAGGUCAUCCAUCACUGGUUGAUCAUCUUUCUGGCUGGUUACUGUUGUAUCUCGGUUUGAUCUUCUUGAAUUUGUGCUGCGGAUUUCGGUUCUGUAAUUUUGAGUUCCGAGACAACAAUGACUUGUUCUUGGUUUUGUUCUUCUAAGAAAGGACGUGUUUCUUUGGUCUUUCUUAGUUGUUCCUCCACAUCAUUAAAUGCUUUCAAAAGUGCUUUCUUUAUACUCUUCUCACUGAAACAAUUUGAUGUUUUGCUUGAUGAGACAAUUUCAGUGGGUGGACAUGAUCUCAGGCGGCAUUGUUGUUUCUGAUCCAAGAUUGAAGGGUAUAGCUUUGUCUCAGACUGCUUGUUUUGUUCAGUACUCCACUUGUCUCGUUAAUACCUUCUCGGCUGUCGAGUUUCAUUAAUAAUAACAAAGUUUUUCUUUUCUUUUUCUUCUCUGCCUUUGAUUCAUGGCUUGAUGUAACUCCUGGCAAAAUGAAUCAAUUUUGGAGUCCACAAUUUUCUCCAUUUUGAGAGUCCUAGCUUCAAGUAACGGUUGAUCCAUUCCAUUGUUCGGAUUGCUCUCUUCUCCCAUGGUUCCUGUUGAUUUUCCAAACACAAAACGAGUAAAAGACAUCACAGAAACAAAAUAUAACAUAAAGUAACAGAAUUGAAUCUGGAAUAGUCGGAUUUCCAAUUUUCAAUAAGAACCCUAAUUUUUUUCUCUGCAAUUUUGUGAAUCAAGUUCAGUUAUUUAGAAAUUUCAACACUUGUUCAAGGUAGAUCUGAUCUUAAUAAACACGAAUCUCACAAGAUCUAAACUUUAGAACAGAUCAGAUAACAUAAUACGAAAAAUCUAAAAGUUGCAGAACUGGGAAAACACAACCUGAUGAUGGAGAUCUGCUCUGAUACCACUUGAAAUGAUCAACGGUAAGAUGAUCACGUCCCUGAAUGCUCUCCGACGAUUGUGAUGAUGAAAUAAGCAGUGGAUUGAGAUGAUACUUCUAAGAGUUGCGGAAUGACUCCUAGACUAUCUGAGUUUGCUUGUAGAUGUUGAAACGAGAUCAGAACAUGAACAAGACAAACAAUGAUCAAACAAGAUUCAGAGAUAAUUUUUAUUAGAAAAGAGUUUGAUUUUUAUUGAGAUUUUUGACCAGAUAUAAAGAAAAGAAGUCUGUACAUGCACACUUUCUUGGAAACACACAAGAUAAUUAAAACUAAUAAAGACUAAAGAAGACGGUACAUGCACAACUUCUUGGAAACACACAAAACAAUUAAAGCAAAUAAAGACUAAAGCUCAAAUUUAAAAGAUAAGCUCCCCUCCUUAUUUCUGGACGAAAAUUAGACUAGAAAUGGGCUAGAAAUUGGUAUGGUUUCAUCAAGAGGGUUUUGUAUAAGUGUUGUGUCCAAGCCUCAUUAAAUACAUUGUUUGAAAAACCUAGUGGGACAAAACCAAACCAAGGAAAAGAGUGCAAGUCACAACACCUUUCUUUGUUGAAUGUCUUAGACAACCAAUGAGGUUGAAUAAGAACACUCUAGAGCUUGAUGGAACCUCGCCUGCUUGGACCUAGUGAUCGGACCAAGUGGAACAUUUAAAUCGUCAGAAUGGCAUCCACGGGGUUGCAUCCACUCAAUUGCAUCCACAUAAUCGUAUCCACCAGAUUGCUUCGAUUAUGUCGCAUCCACAAAGUUGUAUUCACGGGAUUUCAUCCAUUCUGUAGCAUCCACCGAGUCGCAUUCUUUGACUUUCUUAAGUUCUGGUACAAGCUGUUCUAUCUCCUUAGUUUCAUCAGUUCCUUUGCUUGCCAAAAUCACAUCCUCUCCCACUUGAGAAGGAUUUGACCUCAAAUCCGUUUCAUCUGCAUGAUAAAGAACUAGAUCAGUAACAUUGAAGCUUGAACUUACAUUAUACUUACCUUGGAGGCCUCGUUGAUAGGCAUUGUUGCUGAUCCGUUUGGUUAUCCUUUCUCCUGAUGAAUUCCUCAUUUAUGGUUUAUACACAUUAUCAUAUAACAUGUUAGCACAUGAACAAUCCUCAUAGAGUAAUAGAAAUAGUCCAAAUCUGUUUUUGAUCAGUUUUUGGAUUGUUUGUUGCAUUGCUUCUUUGAUGACGAUGAAGAAAGUGACGUCUUGGUGCUUAUCCUGGUCCAAAUCAGGUGGUUUGAACCGCUUCUCCUCCUCUUGCUUGCAUCUUCUUCUUUUAUGCUUCAAGGCUUUCAUGAAACUUAUACUUUGUUCUUUUGACAAAAACAAGUGCAUUAUAUCUGUGUAUUCAAUGAUAAAAGAAUUCUUGAAAAACUUGAUUACUUACCUUAGCAUUCUCACCUGGUCGCCAUGUCUGAAACAGUUCAGAAUAAAGCAAGUGUAGGUUUACCAGAGUUGUAGAAUCAGUAAUUUGCAACCCUGAAUUGGUUUCAUCCUCAAACUGAUUCCUUGUGGAUGUAGGAAGGACUAAGAAUGUGGGACAAGUUGUUUCAUAGCUUGACUCCUUCUUUUCAAAAAGUGUAAACGUCAAAACAGUCUGACCUGUGACAACAGCAAGCAAAUCAGGUUUCAUGCGUUUCUUUGAGUCUAGAUAAUUACCUUGAGUUGGUUGUUUUGGAGUUUGCUGUAGACUAAGUUUAUCUCGUGGUCUCUCCUUGAUUUGAGAAGAAAACAUGAUUUCUUAUCCUGGUCCAUUAAUCACUUCACCAUUUCCUCUAGUGAAUUCUCCAUCCCCACUCCUGGUUUGAUAAUCUCUACAAUUGUGCUGAAUUUGUUGCAAAUCUGGUGGCUUCCAUAGCUUUAUUUGGUCGAAUGGACUAUCUUCCGACUCCAUAGGGCCCAAGCCGAUUCUCUUACGAGCAGAGUGUUCAACAAGGAUGAUAAGUAUGCUGACAUAUUUUCCAGGUCUCCAUCGUCCAACCCAAUCACAUAUAAUCGUCUCUUGGAAGUGAUCCAAACCGACAUGUUUUGCCAAACAUGUAAUAACUUGAUGAUCAGGUGGCCCUUUACUACGUUGUCUGGUUUGUUGGAUCCAUGACUGAGUUGGAAACAUUCUCCAAUUGGUUUUAUAGUGAAACUCUUGCUGAGCUGAGACGUAGAAAAACUUUUCAUCAGAGGGCGAGAAAUCAACAAAAUCAAAUGUAGUUGCAGCUGAUUCCUUCUCAAUCAUUUUUAUCUUGUUCCUGUGACUCCCCAACUCUCCCCCAGGCUCAAAUACAACAUAAUCCAAGCCCAGUUCGUGUCUUGAAAGCUCCAUUGCUCUAGUCUUGUUCCAAACAAAAGGACUGAACAGAAAAGUACCAAAGAAUGUCUUUUAGAAACCAUAUGGAUCAAAUAUAAAAAGAUGCUCCAGUCCACUAUCUGUUUGUGGUUCCUUUGGUUCCUCCUUUUCUAUCAUGUUUGGCAAGAACCAGGUCAUCUAUCACUGGUUGUUCAUCUUUUCGUCUGGUUAUUGUUGUAUCUCGGUUUGAUCUUCUUGAAUUUGUGCUGCGGAAUUCGGUUCUUUAAUUUUGAGUUCUGAGACAACAAUGACUUGUUAUUGGUUCUGUUCUUCUAAGAAAGGACUUGUUUCUUUGGUCUUUCUUAGUUGUUCAUCCACAUCAUUAAACGCUUGCAAAAGUGCUUUAUGUUAGGGGAUUUUUGUGUAGGCCCUUCAUGAGUACUACGGAACGAUGGACAAGCCGAUAAAUCGAAUAUACUUGAGGACGUUUGUAGGUAUUUUUUGGGGAUAUGAAGUUAAUAAUAAAGAGAAAGGCUUGAAGAGACGUUUUAUUAGAUAGAACAGCAAGAAUAAACGGGGUUACAAGGUAUUGAAGAAGAACCCUAAUUCUAGCCAUCUAAUUCUAGUCUCUAAGCCUUGGAGAAGUCGAUCCCCUGCUUUAGGGUUUUAGUAGCUCUUAUAUAGUCGUCUAGGAGUCGGUUUCAUUUGGUUUAACUCUUCUAUAUUCGGAAAAUGGAAGGUUCUCCUUGUCGGAAGUUUUCCAUUUCUUGGUAGGAAGCUCGGUUCCAGGGACCGAGCUCGGGAUUCCUUCUAGCGGGGACCUAGAGCGUUCCCUUAUCGGGUACCCGAGGGUCUGGGUCCUCCCUGGAGGCUGGAGGAAAUGAUACCGGAGAAUUUUUCCCCAACAGUUUGCCCCUUAUUUCUCGAUUUCGUCAUCGAAGUCGGGGAAUAACCUGUGCACUCAAGUGAACCGGGGUUGCUCAUUCUCAGCAGGCUCCCCCUAGGCAGGACCCCGUCCCAUUGGUAUUGCUAGCCUGGGUUCCACUCAAGCCGGAACUCAUUCUGAACCCAGGUGAGGAUCGGUUCCUUCGUGUUUGACCGAAGUCUAGUAGUAGUUUCUUCAAUCUUCUGGAGAUGAUGAGGCUGGAGCUUUGAAAUUUAAACCACGUGCGGGCUGUAAUGAGUUCUUGCCAGGGGGACUCUGGGGCCUCUGAGACUAGGAUCCGUUGAUUUGAGGAAAAAGGUGUAAACAUUGCUUCCCCUAGCGCAUUUCUUUUUUCCAGACCGGCCGUUUCUUUCAUAAAGGAUUCUUCUGAAGAUUUGGAAAUAUCCAAUUUCCUUUUCUCUGGCUUCAAAAAGGAAAGAAUCAGGCAUAUAUUUAGGGUGCCCGAUGCGUAGAGUUUCAUUCAUCCCUUAUUCAAGAAGAUGAACUCUGAUCUUCCUGCUUCACUCGUGGGUGGCCGCGUAAGGCCUUGCCGCCUGUUUGCUGAUCCUUUCUCCUCCCUUGUUGCUUCUUUCGGAGAAGUUUCUGAAAAUGAUAGCGAGGUGAUCCCAAUGGCGCCUUUGAAGCAACAUGAUUCCCUCAUUCUCGACGAUGGCCUGCGUUCUGAAAUUCAGGAGGGAGGUCUGAAGGUGAUACAGAGAAAAUACGGGAUCAAUUCUUCGGUGCAGAUGAGGAGUUCUUUGGAGUUUGAGCGCGCUCCUGAUGGGGGGCUGGGCGAGAUAGCUAUUUUUGAGGUGUAUCUGAUAGCAGGUUUCCGGGGGAUCGUCCUUUCGCUCGUGGAUGAAGUAUCAUCGUUUUUGGGGUAGUGUCCUUCUCAGCUCACUCCUUUAUCCUGGAAGACUUUAAUGUCGAUCCAAGUACUCGGGGAGCUUUAUGGCCUUGAUUCUGGGGUACACGAAGUUCUAUACUCCUACUACUUUGCCCCAUUGACAGUCAUGCCUGGGUUCUGUUGGGGAAAAAUAUUCCAUGAAGAGAUUACUCCAGCUUCCGGGUCCCUGCCUCUGGGUCCCGGGUCCCUGUCCCCGAGUCUGGGACCUUCCUCCAUCUUCCAGGCCAAGUGAUUUCUCAUGCCUUAAGAUAAAUGGAAAUCUUCCAUUUAUCAGGUAACCAGCUUGGGCAAGAAGGAUUCUUCUUAAAUCUAAGAGAAAGAGGAAGUAUUCCAAUACAUACGACCUCCCUUAAGAAAAUGGAAAUAUUCUACUAUCUAAAGAUAUAAUGAAUAUUUCCAAAUCCUAAGAAAGGAGGCACGACCUCUUCUAUAAAUAUAGGUUUCUAAACCUAAAGAGGGGGGGGGGGGGUCGAAGACGUCUAUAAUCAGAGCUCACCAAUUCUAUAGCCGCCAAUGCAAGAUUCUACAUAGAAGACCUUCUUCUCGGACAAGCCGAGGAGAGGCUGAUCCCGGUGGUUACUAUCGACCAGGGGAAGAUAUAUGCUCCCUGCAGCACGUCUACAACUCUACAUAGUGGCCCAUGCCUUGAUCUCCAGCACACCGACAGGGACACCCCUUGCUCAUCAAAGCAUAUCGAAGCUCCAUGCUCCCUGUAGCAUAUCGACUACCCCACCAUCUGUUCUGGCCAUGUGCCCCAUAGAACAGAUGACUCCUACCAACUACAGAGCUACGUGCUCCUUAGGCCACAUGCCCAUUAGGCUACGUGCCCACUUAGGCUCCGCGCCUCCACCAAUACAUGAACUACAAACAGCUUGAUCCCUCAUUGAAGGGUACGUAGGCAAUCCCCCCUGAAGGAUGCAGCUAUACAUGAACUACGAAUGGCUUGAUCCCUCACUGAAGGGUACGUAGGCAAUCCCCCCUGAAGGAUGAAGCUAUAAAUCCCAAACAUCUUCCUCGGUUCCUCAAGGACCAACCUUGGCAACCGGAAACCUCAACUACAUAUCAGGAGGCACCCAGGGACCGACCCUAGAGUCGGGACCAUCAAUUGCAGAACCAGAAGACCCUACGAUCUUCACUACAGACAGGCGGUUCCUAUCCAACAACCGACCUUUCUUAUUUCUACUAAGGCACUGAUGACAUAUACCAGCCCAUACCCGUAUGGCACUACCCUCAGAGCAGGAUCUCCUGGCUUAUCCACGACCGAAGCAGGAGAAAGUACCACGAUGACCAGUCUCCUUCUUCCUAUCAUUCCGUAGUCUGAGCACGAAUCACUUGUACACAAAAAUCCCCUAACAGUUUGUCUCUAGAAGGAGGGGCAGUCAUAUACUACGUGAUGAUGGUGAUAGGCGGAAGAGACAUUACAUCCAUUCGUUCAGAAUAUUUCAACCCCAGCCAUCUAGGGGCAAGAAACGACAUAUUCUCACCAGAUCUAAACCUCACACAGCUAGAAAGACCUCUUCAAGGGAGGAUAACAAAACGCUAAACAGAAGUAACCAGAUCCAACACAGGGAUUACCAACUGGUUCCUACUGGUUCCUGUUGGUUCUGGGUCCAAUCCUCAGAUCAAACUUUAUGCAGUCCCUAGUUCCUGCUGGUUCCGGGUCCUAUCCUCAGAUCAAACUUUCUGCAGUUCCUAGUUCCUGUUGGAACCGAAAUUCACACUGUUGAUUUCCAUUUAAAUUAGGAAAGUUAGGAAAACCCUAAUUUCCCAGAGGUCCCGGAUAUCUGUUAAACCACACGCAAGCAAUCAGAACACGCAAGUAAAGACAAAAAGAAAUAAGAAAUCGUAAAAGUGAGCAAAAGGAGUUUUAUUUCGAAUUCGCGUAUGAGCGUUACAAAAAGGUAGAAGCCUCAGCUAUGAGAGCUGUCGGCGAGAUUCCUAGUUCUAAGAACCUAAGACUGCAAAACCUAGUUGAGUCGCAGCUCGAAAUAACAAAAACAGAAAGUUGCCUAAUUGCUCUAAUUGCUAAGUUUGCUCUCCAAAAUUCUCUCCCCCAUGCCUCUGACCUAGGACUCCUUAUAUACUUGCUCCUAGGUCGGUUUACGCUUUUCCCCUUCUGCCCUUAAGCCGCCAUAGCAUAAAAAUGGAGAUAUUCCAUUUUUCCGAUCUUCGUAAUUAUCUUCAAAAUUUCGUAUUUAUCUGCGAAAACUUGACAUUUAUCUUUCCUUGCGAACCAAGCGUAAACCGACCCACGGUUUACGGGCUGCUGGUUAAGAAAUCGCAAGGUGGGCUUUGAGUCAUGUCUUAGGUCCCUUUGGGCCGUCUUUCGACUUGAAGUGUUUAUUACGACUUCUUUCAAUAAAAACGAACUUUCCGCGGUUUUUAUCGUAAAGUUUGAUUGAUGACUUCGAAUGGCGGAAAACAUGAAAUGGGUUCGCUACGGUCUUCGGGAGAUUGCAUCGAAGAGUAGACGAAAAUGCACGUUUCGUGUCGUAUCGACGUUUCGGAAGAGCUCGGUCGCUACGUAGCGACCGAACGGAACGCACGCUCGGUCGCUACCGAACGGGACGUGCGCUCGGUCGCUACGUAGCGACCGAGCUUGGCUCGGGCUUGGUCGCUAUGUAAUGACCGAGCUUGGCUCGAGCUCGGUCGCUGCAUUGUUGGGGUCAAAAUCGGUCACGACAGAAUCGAUGUCCGAAAGUCCUCAGAAAAACCAAAUCUCGGUCAAAACUUCAAAAGCCGAGAAAACGAAUAUCUUACCCCAGGUGCUUGUGUGGUUGGAGAUGUAUGACCUUUGAUUCGGAUGACUUGUAAGACUUUCUUCUUCUGCUUUAUGAAGAUGAGACGUUGCCCCCAUGGUGGGGAUAGGCCGGAGUUAGCCGAAAGUUUGAUGGAGAAGCCGGGAACAUCGGCAUAAAGGGUGAUGCUUCUGAUCAUACCCCAGGUGCUUGUGUGGCUUCUGUAGCUAUACUCGGCCUCAGCUCAGGCAGGGCUAUCUGGUUCCACUAAUCGUGUGGAGGAGUGUAUGGGUCAGUAUCCAGGAAUUCUGAGAGGGAGAAUCUUGGCGAGGCUAAGGAUCAGGAGGACGAAGAGGUUGAAUAAGACUCGGAGGCCGAAACUGAGGAUCCUCAUGCUUGAUUCUACUGGCCUUGCUUGUGCCUCUUGAGAUUGUAAAGGCUGUAAUUGACUUUCAGGAGGGUCUCCGUGCCGGUUUCCUUGCUGCGUUUAUCAUACUUGAUGCUCCUUUGGUGUUGAUAUUGUAGUUGUAGCUUCUUGCCUCGUCUCUGGAUCGUACCUUGACUUUUGGCAGAGGGGACAUUCAGCAUGUUCGUCUUGGUGCCGGGAGAUAACCUAGUUGAUUCUUGGUACCGGAGUAGAUCUCCUGGACAUGUUGUUUGCGCGAGCAGUAGUUUCCAUGCCAAAUAAAGAAGGUGGAAACAUUGGUUGAACUCAGCCAUUGAUCCUUGGCCGCUGUCAACUAUGUAGUACUGCAAUCUGCCCCUCGGAGGUAAGCCACCAUCAAUGCUGGGAUGACCUUGCGUCGUGCUUUCAUGGAACCCAGAGGAUCCUAGGCAUGCUCUCCCAAAAUCUGGAGGUUUAGAGAUACAUCUUUCUGAAACCCAUAGGUUCGAGGAUGUGAUCGGAGGUUGUAUAGACUUUCAUCCAGGAACCCGGAGGCUGGAUGGACUUUAGUCAAGGAACCCGUUGCUUGCAUGGACCUUAGUCCAGGAACCCUUAGGUUAUAAGGAUUUUUGUCUGGGAACCUGAUGGUUGUGUGGACCUUCAGGGGGACCUUCCCGUAUAUCUUUUCGACUUGAAGUCGUCUUCGUCGGGUAGACUCUCGUUGACUGCUAGGUAGGCUUUUUGGAGCAGUGUCUACCUUUGCGUCGUCUAGCUAUCCUUUGGGAAGUCUUAAAGACGGAACAAGAUGCGUUAGACUCGUGAACCUGGAGUAUAGGGAUGCUUCACAUUCCACCUUCAGUAGAUAGGUUACUCGUGAUUUUUUUCCGUAGAGAUAGCAGGUCUCUCUUAGGGACCCGAAGAUUUAAUGGAAGGAUCCUGGGAUCGAACGGAACUGUGGUACUGCUUCAGAAUCCGGAGAUGUUGUUGGGACCCAAAGGUCGUUUCUGGAGCCCGGAGGCUGCCCUAGACCCGGAGAUCGCCUUUAGAACCCAGAGGUUGAGUGAGGACCCAGAGGUCGAUGGGGAACCCGGAGGUUCCUCUAGACCAUGAGGUCGUAUUCAGGACCCUUUGGUCGUUUAGGGACCCGGAGGUCGAUUGGGAACCCGGAGGUUCCUCUAGACCCUGAGGUCGUAUUUAGGACCCUGAGGUCGUUUUGGGACCCAUAGGUCGAUUGGGAACCCGGAGGUUCCUUCAGACCCUGAGGUCGUAUUUAGGACUUUGAGGUCGUUUUGGGACCCGGAGGUCGAUUGGGAACCCAGAGAUUCCUCUAGACCCUGAGGUCGUAUUUAAGACCCUGAGGUCGUUUAGGGACCCGAAGGUCGAUUGGGAACCCGGAGGUUCCUCUAGACCCUGAGGUCGUAUUUAGGACCCUGAGGUUGUUUUGGGACCCGAAGGUCGAUUGGGAACCCGUAAGUCCCUCUAGACCCUGAGGUCGUAUUUAGGACCCUGAGGUCGUUUUAGGACCCGAAGGUCGAUUAGGAACACGAAGGUUCCUCUAGACCAUGAGGUCGUAUUUAGGACCCUGAGGUCGUUUUGGGACCCGGAGGUCGAUUGGUAACGCGGUGGUUCCUCUAGACCCUGAGGUCGUAUUUAGGACCCUGAGGUCGUUUUGGGACCCGGAGGUCGAUUGGGAACCCGAAGGUUCCUCUAGACCCUGAGGUCGUAUUUAGGACCCUGAGGUCGUUUUGAACCUGGAGGUUGCUUCUUGACUCGGAGGUCAUUUGGGAACCCAGAGGUUCCUUCAGACCCUGAGGUGGUUGUUGGGCCCGGGUGUUAUAAAGAACCUGGAGGUUUACCAUUUCCAGGUCCUGAAGAAAUUUGUUCAGGGCCCGGAGACUGCAUGGGGACCCGAAAAUUCUUAAUACCCCAGGGGUAUUUGAUUUGUAUUUUAAGGGACCGUAUUCUGCCAUCCUAGGUGAGACCACUACUGGUACCUGUUGGGAUUUCGCAUUCUACCGCUCGGAAGCUGGUCACUAUCGAGUUUCCGUGAUGGAUGUUGUUUUCUGCAGAAAGCUACUAUCAGACUUAGGGGUGCUGGUUAUGGAUUCGGAAACCCAAGUGCCAGGCUUUUUCUGCUUUCCACGUCUAGAGAAGCAGGAAUUUAUGUAUUUCUUCCUGCACGUGGCAGUACUUAUGCAAUAUGCAAACUCCAUAAAUUAACCCGGAGGUGUCACAGCACACUUGCUUAUGGGGCCCCGAUAUGGCUCUAAGCCUAUACCGGGGUUAUAGGUAGUUUUGACAAGCAUACUCAGGUUGAUCAGACCUAUUCCUGCCUUAAGUCUCAUACCCAUUGUUAUUGUCCCUCCCUGUAAAAACUAUGAGUUUGAAUACAGUACAUUGCAUUUGUGUAAGAGUUUGGAAAGUUUUUACCUUUCAUUUUUACCUGGUGUUAAGGAUAGAAGCAGAGGUCUAAGCCGGAGCUUCGUAGUCGGAGUCGGAGUCGGACCUUCUUCAUGCGGGUGUAUGGAGACCAGGGUCCUGCCCGGAAACAAGAGUAGCAUUUUCCAAAAUUAUUUACUCCCAAUAGUUUGCCCCUUAUCUUUCGAUUUCAUGGGUGAAGUCGGGAGAUAACAUGUGUAGUUUGGCCAACCGGAGUCGUUCCAUCUCAGCAUGCUUAUAAUGGACAUGACACUGCUUCCCUUUUUCUGAUUUCUUCUUAGGCCUGGACCGUGUUAGAACUUGGAGGAGAGCCGUUUUUCCAGAUGGUAGACCGGGGUCUUGAUGAGUACUUCCAGGUUCUGGACAUGUUCGAAGGUGAUCUUGUAGGAUUCGGGACCUUGAUCUUGUAUUUCAGUGGACGACAAGAUUUGCUUUCCGGUCUUGUAACCCACGUAGGUUUCUCUCAGUGAUGUAGGGUUCGACGGAGAUGGACUUGCUGAUGCUUCAGUGAGCUCUGACAUUCGUCAGCUGGAUACAUGGUCCUUAGACCUGUAAUAGGACCUUGGAGGAAUGGAGAUAUUUGUUGAGGUGUGGAGGCUACUUCUCUUGGAGGAACAGUAGAUUUAUCCUUGAGAACCUGGAGGCUCCUUGGAACUAGUGCUCUGCACAUGAGGAUCUGUAGAUAGUCUCUUUUUGUCGAUGUCGUUUAGUAACUUCUUCUGGCUGCUCUCUGCUCCCUCUUGGGUGAGCCACUCUCAGUGUUUCUUGGAUGUCACUAAAUGACCCGUCACUUUGUCUUGCAUCCUCCCUUUAGUGGGCAAGCCAACAAGAUUUUUUGACCCAUGUUUGCCCCUUGGGCUGAGUGUUAACUCGUUUGCCCCCUCUUUUCUCUCAGUUAUCUCUUUCAUAGAAGUUCAGGAAGGUACGUGCCUUGGACCUACUUCCUUGUAGACUGGCGUAUUCUUGACUCCUUCACUGGGAAUUUCAGUUUCUUACAACUUGUCGAGGGGUGCAGCCUUGGAGACUUGGAGAGGCACGGAUCUUGAGUUUCCCCGGGAGUUUGUAGGGGGUAAAUGACCUUAAUUUCCUUUAAAGGUAUAUCAGGGUUUGUUGCCGGGAAAAGCGGUAGUAAGGUGGUCGGACCUUGAUUUUUCGUGGAGCCAUUGGAUUUCACCUCCAUGUAAGGUGGGUAGCCGGAGACCCGGGACCUGGGAUCCUGGACCUGGGAUUUGGGACCUGGGAUCUGGAACCCGAAACCCAUAGAUGAAUAGUAGCUGGAACGUGUGUUCUCCGACUUCUUUUACUCUACUUUGCUCUAAUUGGACCCAAGAAUCAGAAGGCCAACAUGUCUUGAUGUAGAGUUCGCGUUUUUCUUAGGCUCCUUUGCGGGAUGCAGAGAAGCAGUCUUCACGACGCUUGGGCAGGGAUCCUUUCGCGGAACAACUCCAAUGGAAGUUGAUGAGUACUAAAAGGCGUUCUAUCCACCCAGCUAUUAGGCUUAUCUAGGAUUCCACUACCACUUAAAUUCUAAAGCCUAAAGAGAAAGGUGGUUCUACGGUUACCUCUUAGUGGUUGCCUGGUACGCCUGUGGUAUUUCCAGGAGCUCUUCUUCUGACUCCUCCUGUCUUUAGAAUUCGUCCAAGUUGUAAACCCGGGCGGAAAAUGUUGUCUUCCGCUUGAGAACCUUGCAUCUUUCCCAUAUGAGGCGGAAUUGUGAGUCUGGAAGUAUGGAUGUCGUCUAGGGCUUGCUUGGUGAUGGCUGUCCCCAUUGGGUCCGAAGGUUGUUGAGACUUGUUGUGUAGUGAAGAUCCAGAACUAACAGGAGUCAAUAAUUGUUGACAUCGGCUUCGGGUUCGGACCCGGAACCGACAGAUCCAAAGACUGCAGGGAUCUGAUCUGAGGAUAGGACCCGGAACCAACAGGAACCAGGGACUGCAGAAAGUCUGAUCUGAGGAUAGGACCCGGAACCAGAAGGAACUAGGGACUGCAGAAAUUCUGAUCUGAGGAUAGGACCCAGAACCAGCAGGAACCAGGGACUGUAGGAAGUCUGAUCUGAGGAUAGGAUCCAGAACCAGCAGGAACCAGUAGGAACCAGUUGGUAAUUCCUGUGUUGGAUCUUGUUACUUCUGUUUAACGUUGUGUUAGCCUCCCUUGAAGAGGUGUUUCCAGCUGUGUGAGGUUUAGAUCUGGUGAGAAUACGUCGUUUCUUGCCCCUAGAUGGCUGGGGUUGAAAUAUUCUGAAGGAAUUGAUGUAAUCUCUCUUCCGCCUAUCACCAUCAUCACAUAGUAUAUGACUGCCUCUCCUUCUAGCGCCAAACUGUUAGGGGAUUUUUGUGUAUAAGUGAUUUGUGCUCAGACUACGGAAUGAUAGGAAGAAGGAGACUGGUCGUCGCGGUACUUUCUCCUGCUUCGGUCGUGGAUAAGCCAGGAGAUCCUGCUAUGAGGGUAGUGCCAUACGGGUAUGGGCUGGUAUAUGUCGUCAGUGCCUUAGUAGCAGUAAGAAAGGUCGGUUGGACAGGAACCGCCUGUCUGUAGUGAAGAUCGUACGGUGUUCUGGGUCUGUAAUUGAUGGUCCCGGUUACCAAGGUUGGUCCUUGAGGAACCGAGGAAGAUGUUUGGGAUUUAUAGUUGCAUCCUUCAGGGAGGAUUGCCUACGUACCCUUCAAUGAGGGAUCAAGCCGUUCGUAGUUCAUGUAUUGGUGGAGGCGCGUAGCAUAAUGGGCACGUGGCCUAAGGAGCACGUAGCUCUGUAGUUGGUAGGAAUUAUCUCUUCUAUGGGGCACAUGGCCGGAACAUAUGGUGGAGUAGUGGAUAUGCUGCAGGGUGCAUGGAGCUUCGACAUGGUUUGAUGAGCAAGGAAUGUCCCUGUCGGUGUGCUGGAAAACGUGGCCUAGGCCACUAUGUAGAGUUGUAGACGUGCUGCAGGGAGCAUAUAUCUUCCUCUGGUCGAUAGUAACCGCCGGGAUCAGCCUCUCCUCGGCUUAUCUGAGAAGAAGGUCUUCUAUGUGUAGAAUCUUCCCUUGGCGGCUGUACAAUUGGUGAGCUCUCAUUAUUGACGUCUUGGACCCCCCUCUUUAGGUUUAGAAACCUAUAUUUAUAGAAGAGGUCGUGCCUCCCUUCUUAAGAUUUGGAAAUAUUCAUUAUAUCCUUAGAUAAUAGAAUAUUUCCAUUUUCUUAAGGGAGGUAGUAUGUAUUGGAAUACUUCCUCUUUCUCUUAAAGUUAGGAAGAAUCCUUCUUGCCCAAGCUGGUUACCUGAUAAAUGGAAGAUUUUGAUUUAUCUUAACGCAGGAGAAAUCACUUGGCCUGGAAGACGGAGGAAAGUCCCAGACUCGGGGAUAGGGACCCAGGACCCAGAGGUAGGGUCCCGGACCUGGGGGCAGGGACCCGGGACCCAAAGGCAGGAACCCGGACCCUGGGGGCAGGGACCUGGAAGAUGGAAGCUGGAGUAAUCUCUUCAUGGAAUAUUUCUCCCCAACAACCGGACCACUCCCAAAAUAGCAACGGUCUCCGGAUCCACCUCUCAAGAGGAGAACAAUGAGCUGAUGGCACUAAGCCUCGACCUACUCGAUGAAAAAAUAGAGGCCGCUCGACUGAGAAACUCAUCCUACCAGCAAGACGUCGCCAUGACGUACAACAAGAAAAUCAGAACCAGAACCUUCCAGCAAAGGGACUGGGUUUUACGACGAGCAGAAAAAACGACGGGGAAACUCACCCCAGGGUGGGAAGGACCCUAUAAAGUCAUCGAGGUGCGGAGAGCAGGCGCCCACAGGCUGCAAGAUAGCAAAUGUAAAAUACAACCUAACUGCUGGAACGCCCUGCACCUCAAAGCCUAUCAUUUCUAAUAUGGUCCCCAGACCAUGAUUUCUAUACUACUAUAUACUAUUUAAGCAUUAUAAUUUCCUACUCCUAUGUAUGCUAAACGUCUCCGGACAAAGCUUAUAAUAAAAUAGUUCCGACUAUAAAAGCAGAGGGGAAAUCAUUAUACUUAAAGGGGCAUACGAGCUAGAUCAGGUCUCCAGAGACCUCCGAUCUUGGCCAACCCUCACAAAAAGAGGCACGACCAUAGUGGCACGCCCACAAAGAAUCAAAACGGGUAUGAGACAUAAAGCAGGAAUUGGUAUGCGCAAGCCUGAGUAUGCUUUCAAAACUACCUAAACCCAUGUGCAGCCUAAGGCGCAUCGGGGUCCAUAGAGCACCAAUGUGAAAAGUACAUGUAUUAAAACGCUACAAGCUACACAAUACAGGGAACACAUGGCAUAUAUUCAUUGCAAAAGUACUGUGAAAUACAGGGAGCAUUCUAAAUCCUGCUUCUCCAUACGUGGAAAGCAGCGUAACCCUUGUUGGGGAAAAAUACUCCAGUAUCAUUUCCUCCAGCCUCCAGGCAGGACCCAGACCCCCGGGUCCCCGCUAAAGGGAACACUCCAUGUUCCGGCUAGAAGGAACCCGAGUUCGGUCCCUGGAACCAAGCUCCCUUCCGAAGAAAUGGAAAACUUCCGAUAAAAAGAACCUUCCAUAUUUCCAAAUGUGAAAGAGUUUAACCUAAAGGAACCGACUCCUAGACGACUAUAUAAGAGCUACUAAAGCCCUAAAACAAGGGGGAACUUCUCCAAGGCUUAGAGACUAGAACUAGAUGGCUAGAUUUAGGGUUCUUAUUCAAUACCUUGUAUUCUUGUUUGUUCUAUCUAAUAAAGAUCUCUUCAAGCCUAUCGCUUCAUCAGUUUCUCUCAAAUCCUUACGAAAUACACACAAACUUACCCGGUUUACCAGCUUGUCCAACGUUCCAUAGUACUCAAAAAGAGCCUACACAAAAAUCCCCUAAUAGUUUGGCGCUAGAAGGAGGGGAGUAAUCUAACUACGUGAUGCUGGCGGUGGAUGAGCACCGCUAACUAACUGAAGCUGCUCAAAUGACAGCUGAGUGUCAAAAGCAAAUAGACGGCCUGCAAAGCCAAAUCACUGACAUGCAUCGAGCUCGGGAAACCGCUGGGGAAAAUCCCGACCCCUCUUUAGAAGUUCAAGGUCUGAAGGAAAAGUUUGGCGAACACUCCAAACAGCUGGAGCAAAGCGCCGAGAUACUAAGCCAGCUUCAGUCAGUAAAUACUGUCCUCCAGGACCAGAACCAAGCCCUCAACGCGACAGGCAACAAGAAGCGCUGUUUCAACACCCGGGUCCGACCUAUGGGAAAUCUGAACACGCCCCGCACCGGAGGAGGUACUACCAACGCGCCUCCUGCAGCUGGGGCAACUCGAGAAGGGACCGAGGAUCCUCAAAUCCACAACCUGGAAGAGAGCGAUUCCGAGCCGGAACUUGAGAAAGAAGCACCCGAGAGGACCGCAGAAACAUAGUCCUCCAUAACCGCCUAUCUGGAGCAGAUCUUCUCUAAAAGAUUCGACGCCAUGCAGUCCAUGGUGGAAUGCUUACUAUGAGUAGCCCCCCAAAUCUAGAGGAUCAAUCCAGAAUCCUACGCCGAUACCCCCUUCGUGGAGGAAAUCGCCUCAGUCGAGAUGCCUAGAAAGUUCUCCUUCCCCAGCAUCAAGAUGUAUGAUGGUACUAGCGACCCCAAUGAUCAUAUCGUGCAAUACAAGCAAAGGAUGCUGGCGGUUGCACUCUCUAAGGAGUCCCGUGAAGCCACGAUGUGCAAAGGUUUUGGUUCCACUCUGAUCGGACCCGCCUUGCAAUGGUACAUUAAUCUUCCUAACGGGUCCAUAUCUUUUUUCGCAAGCCUCAGCGGGAAACUCGUGGAGCAAUUUGCGAGCAGUAGGAGCCUGGAGAAGACUUCAGAUGGUCUCUACGAGAUCCUCCAGCAUCGGGUGGAACCCCUGCGAGACUACAUAGCCCGCUUCAACCUGGAGAAAGGGGCGGUCCCCGAAUGCAGCAUCCAUACCGCGACCUCUACCUUCAAGAGAGGUCUACUUCCAGAUGGGGGGCUAUACAAAGAAUUGACCAUGUACCCCUGCAAAACCAUGGAGGAUGUGCUAUCCCGAGCCUGGGCGCAUGUGAAGUGGGAGGAAGACGUUGCUAGCCAUGCCAAGGCUCACACAAAAUAGGACCCAAGGUCAGCCCGAUUAGAUCGAGGAGACCGAGGGGAAAGGUCCUCCCAGAAAGGAUCCAAAGACUCUGGUAAUAUAAACAGGGGCAGGUUCCAAUACCGGCCCGUUAUCUCUCACCUCUCAAUAUCAACACCCAAGCUAGUCAACGCACUGAGGCAGAUGGGCCAACAUGUUAAGUGGCCUCCGAAAAUGAAGGCAGCUGACUCGUUCCGGAACCCGAAACUCAGGUGCGACUUCCACCACGAUCAUGGCCAUAAAACUGAAGACUGCAUCACCUUGAGGAUCGAGGUCAACGCUACUCCAAAAGGGGCAUCUCCGAGAAUUCCUCUCAGAGAAAGCCAAGGCCCACCUUGGCAAAGAAACAGCAGGGAGAUCCAAUGGAGCUACACCAGCCUCACCACCUCACCAAAAUCGGGUGAUCCAUGUCAUAUCUGGAGGCUCAGAAGUAAGUGGAGUGAGCCACACUGCCGCAAAGAAAAGCACCCGCAACGCUAAGCACAAUCUAGAAACAACCCAACCGAAGCGUCUACUCCUAGGCACCGACGAAAUAAGCUUCACAGCUAAGAAGCAAGAGAAGAUCCUAGUUCCCAACCAUGAUGCUCUAGUCAUCUCUCUCACGGUGGCAAACUGCUUGGUGAAAAGAAUAUUUGUGGACAAUGGCAGCUCCAGCAACAUUAUCUUCCAGAUGGCAUACCAAGAUCUAGGGCUGGAGGAAAGCACCCGAAUGCGCAAGGUAACACCGCUCAUCGGAUUCAGCGGUGAAGUCAAGCAAACCAUCGGAGAAGUUGUCCUCCCAGUAUACGCUGAAGGGGUCAACAUAUCUACCAAAUUCAUGGUCGUAGAUUGUCAAUCGGCAUACAACAUGAUCCUGGGAUGACCCUGGAUUCACGACAUGGGAGCAGUCCCUUCAACCCUUCACCAAAUGAUAAAGUUCCCUACACCCUGGGGCAUCAGAAUAAUUAGAGGAGACCAGGACAACUCUCAAUCAUUCUACCAAACCACCCUGAAGGGGAAGACCAAAGUCUUAUAGUAAUUACAGAGAAGACCUCGGACCCUGCGAACUCAGGGACCUGAGGUCAAUGACACAAAUAAUUGGGGGGUCGUUCCGGAGAAAGCGGACCCUGAACCCGAGGAAUCUUCAGAGAACCUAUGUCGACCGCUCCGCAUGGUCUCCCCCGAAUCCCUCCAAAGCUGCAUCCGCUUGCAAGACCUGGCCCUCGCAGGACUCUCGUCCCCCGCCUCACAUAGACAAGAUCACCAAGAACCUUAUCAGGUGUCAGCUAGUGGUCUCGCGGAUAUACUAGUGGGGCACGAGUACUUCAAAUAGACCUCCUCAGAGAGUACAUUGGUCGAAUCCAGAACAAAGGACGCCUCGCAGACGCAGGACGGAGACACUCAGCCAAGCAGGAGACCUCCAGACCUGGUCCCUCCAGUGGAUGUAUGUGACUACACGCUUCAUGGAAGUGCUGAAAACCUUCAUUAACAGGAGACAGUGGCCUCCGAACACUAAAACCUGGGGCAUGAAACGAGUUUCAACCAUGGUCCCUAGACCCAAGAAGGAGGCAGAACCCUGUAGGAGAAGGAGGCAGAACCCUGUAGGAGAAGGAGGAACCCUCCAGCAAGGACGCUCAUCCCAAAAGCAAGUUAAACCUUGCGGAUCACCUAGCAACAAGAGGUUAAACAUGGCCUAACCACCGGGAUACCUCGCAAGCUGAUAUCUUGUACGGUCUCCGGACCAUGAUUUCUAUUAAUUAUUUUAUCUAUUAUUUAAGCAUUAUGUUUUCCUACUCCUGUGUACGCUGAAUUGUCUACGGACAAAGCUUAUAUAAUAAAAUAGUUCCGACUAUAAAAGAGUAGUACGAACGCCAUAAUACUUAAAG
This is a long non-coding RNA of Brassica rapa (field mustard), 41494 nucleotides long. RefSeq lists it as uncharacterized. The record is from RefSeq and is a predicted model, not a curated record. NCBI's taxonomy places the organism in Eukaryota, Viridiplantae, Streptophyta, Magnoliopsida, Brassicales, Brassicaceae.